CCCUUGUGGAGGAGGACGCCGAAGGUGGGGCUAAUGACUGGGGUGAAGUCGUAACAAGGUAGCCGUACCGGAAGGUGCGGCUGGAUCACCUCCUAACAGGGAGACAACAAAAUGUUUAAUAUUAUUAUUUUGUCACCUUAGGUCGAUCGGUAUCUCACGUUCUUAAUUCAUUAAGAAUUUCAUUUCCUAAGUUUUUCUAGGUCACACCCAUUAUUUUUCCUGGGCCAUUAGCUCAGGUGGUUAGAGCGCACCCCUGAUAAGGGUGAGGUCCCUGGUUCAAGUCCAGGAUGGCCCAUAUCUCUAUGUUGGGGGUAUAGCUCAGUUGGUAGAGCGCCUGCUUUGCAAGCAGGAUGUCAGCGGUUCGAGUCCGCUUACCUCCACUGAUUACCACCUCUUCCAUAAUCUGUAGAAAGGAAAUGUUUUGAGGUGUGAUCAAAUUCUGAACGAAUCUAGCUUCCUAAUGAAAUCAUUAAGAUGCUGGACUCAUUGAAUUAAUUUCAUUGUUUUCAGAGAACCUUGACAACUGCAUAGAUUAUUUUUAAAGACAAUAAGCAUCUUUAAUGAUGCAGAUUUAUUAUUUGUGCGAAUGCAUUAAAUAACAAUUCUAUUAAGCUGAUGCUUCAAUUUUGAAGUUAUUGGUCAAGCUACAAAGGGCUCACGGAGGAUACCUAGGCACACAGAGGCGAUG
Molecule: unclassified non-coding RNA, 688 nt
Filed under: uncultured Prochlorococcus sp.
Lineage: Bacteria; Bacillati; Cyanobacteriota; Cyanophyceae; Synechococcales; Prochlorococcaceae
Description: partial may contain 16S ribosomal RNA, 16S-23S ribosomal RNA intergenic spacer, and 23S ribosomal RNA
Rfam family: Bacterial small subunit ribosomal RNA (bases 1-96)
Source: RNAcentral